RNAcentral lists this ribosomal RNA (501 nucleotides) under uncultured bacterium. RNAcentral describes it as "partial 16S ribosomal RNA". It matches the Rfam family "Bacterial small subunit ribosomal RNA", at positions 30 to 523 of the family's 1533-position model. The record is from RNAcentral.
AUUGAACGCUGGCGGCAGGCUUAACACAUGCAAGUCGAGCGGGGGAAGGUAGCUUGCUACCGGACCUAGCGGCGGACGGGUGAGUAAUGCUUAGGAAUCUGCCUAUUAGUGGGGGACAACAUCUCGAAAGGGAUGCUAAUACCGCAUACGUCCUACGGGAGAAAGCAGGGGAUCUUCGGACCUUGCGCUAAUAGAUGAGCCUAAGUCGGCUUAGCUAGUUGGUGGGGUAAAGGCCUACCAAGGCGACGAUCUGUAGCGGGUCUGAGAGGAUGAUCCGCCACACUGGGACUGAGACACGGCCCAGACUCCUACGGGAGGCAGCAGUGGGGAAUAUUGGACAAUGGGGGGAACCCUGAUCCAGCCAUGCCGCGUGUGUGAAGAAGGCCUUAUGGUUGUAAAGCACUUUAAGCGAGGAGGAGGCUACUUUAGUUAAUACCUAGAGAUAGUGGACGUUACUCGCAGAAUAAGCACUGGCUAACUCUGUGCCAGCCGCCGCCGUAA